Molecule: ribosomal RNA, 2996 nt
Filed under: Candidatus Berkelbacteria bacterium
Lineage: Bacteria; Candidatus Berkelbacteria
Description: 23S ribosomal RNA
Rfam family: Bacterial large subunit ribosomal RNA
Source: RNAcentral
AAGCAGGUUAUAUAAGGGUGUAUGGUGGAUGCCUUGACACUAGAAGGCGAAGAAGGACGUGGUGUAACUGCGAUAAGCCUCGGGGAGGUGUGUAGCAACCUAAAAUCCGGGGAUGUCCGAAUGGGGAAACCCAAUAUAGUGAUAAACUAUAUUAUCCCGAUCUUAAAAAUCGGGAAGCGAACUCGGCGAAGUAAAACAUUUCAGUAGCCGGAGGAAAAGAGAAAAAAUUUAUUCCCCUAGUAGUGGCGAGCGAAAAGGGAAUAGCCCAAACCACGUAAAAAUUACGCAAGUAAUUUAACGUGGGGUAGUAAGAUGAUGAUGUCGGGAGUUUACCCGCCUUUGGCGGGCAGGUCCCGAGGAGUGGAUACAAAACUAAGGCUUCCUUAGUUGAAAGCGGCUGGAAAGCCCUACCAGAGAAGGUAAUAGUCCUGUAAGCAAAAAGGGUCUUAUACUCCUAGUCAUUAAUCUUGAGUACCUCGACGGCAUAAAGCGUCGUGGGAAUCAUCCUGAACUAUCUAGGAAAGGCUAAAUACUUCUAGUGAUCGAUAGUGAACUAGUACCGUGAGGGAAAGGUGAAAAGUAGCCCGGUGAGGGCGGUGAAAUAGUACCUGAAAUCAUACACUUACAAAGAGUCGGAGUCCCGCCUCGGCGGGAUGACGGCGUGCUUUUUGCAGAACGAGCCAACGAGUUUCCGCUUAUCCUUUGUCUAAGUUCGAAAAGAACGGAGGCAUAGCGAAAGCAAGUCUUAACAGGGCGAUUCUCCGGCCUUGCGGUUGGAGGAGGUUAGGCGGAAGACCCGAAGCCAAGCGAGCUACCCAUGGCCAGGAUGAACUCCGAUGAAAAUCGGGGGGAGGUCCGGACCCACCGGCCGUGCAAUACCGGGGGAUGAGCUGUGGGUCGUAGUGAAAAGCUAAUCGAGCUUGGUAAUAGCUGGUUCUCCUCGAAAUAUGUUUAGGCAUAGCCUUCCGUCAAAACUCUCGGAGGUAGAGCACUGGAUGAAUUGAGAUGGUUUUACCUACUCGUUCAACCAAACUCCGAAUGCCGAGAGGUGUGGGCGGAGGAGUAAGAACGUGGGGGCUAAGCUCCACGCUCAAAAGGGAAACAGCCCGGACCGUAAUCUAAGGUCCCCAAACUAAGUUAAGUGGAAAAAGAAGUGUUUUGUCUUAUACAGAUGGGAUGUUAGCUUAGAAGUAGCUAUCAUUUAAAGAGUGUGUAACAACUCACCAUUCUAUGUUUACUAUGACGAAGCGCGCUGAAAAUGUAACGGGGCUCAAACUUAGUACCGAAGAUACGGAUUUUUUCUGACUUUUGUCAGAAAGAGUGGUAGAGGAGCAUUUUUUGCGCAGCGAAGUUCUGUCGUGAGGCAGGAUGGAGCGCAAAGAAGAGAGAAUGUUGGCAUGAGUAACCGCAAAUCCGAUGAGAAAUCGGAUCACCGAAAGCCCAAGGAUUCCUUGGCAAUGGAAAUCAGCCAAGGGUUAGGCGGACCUAAGGCAAACCCGAAAGGGGUAGUCGAUGGCCAGUCGGUUAAUAUUCCGACCCCUCAUUCAUUUUUUGAUGAGAUGACGGAAUUUAGUAAUUUGAGCAUGUUAUGGAUUCGUGUUGUUGGCUUGAGAAUUUUUACCAGGCAAAUCCGGUAAUAUCACUUCAAGAGCUGACAAAAGCUUCGACCUCGGUCGGAGUGAUUCAAAUGAGCAGAUUCCCAAGAAAAAUCUCUAAAAUUAAAUUUGAGUGAGUCCGUACCGCAAACCGACACAGGUGGGCAAGGCGAGAAGCCUAAGGUGAACGGGUUAACCCUCGUUAAGGAACUCGGCAAAAUAACGGCCGUAAGUUCGCAAUAAGGCCUGCCCCGAUUUAUCGGGGCCGCAGUAAAAGAUCCCUAGCGACUGUUUACUAAAAACACAGGUCCCUGCUAACUCGCAAGAGGAUGUAUAGGGGCUGACACUUGACCAGUGCUGGAAGGUUAACGGUGGGGGUUGUUUCGAUUUAUCGGAACAGCUCACUGCCCGAAGCCCCAGUGAACGUCGGCGAUAACUAUAAUCGUCCUAAGGUACCGAAAUUCCUUGGCAUGUAAGUUAUGUCCUGCAGGAAAAGUGUAACGACUGGGGAACUGUCUCAACGAGGAGCCCGGUGAAAAUGCAAUGUCAGUGAAGAUGCUGACUACCUGCGACAAGACGAAAAGACCCCAGGAGCUUUACUAUAACUUAGUAUUGUUUUAAGGUUUUUGAUGCGUAGCGUAGACGGGAGGAUUUGAAGUUCCGCUCUCGGGCGGAAUGGAUCCGACAAUGAAACACCGUUCUUUAAAAACUUUAAAACUAACCCCUCAUCAUAGAGAGGAACAGUGCUAGGCGGGUAGUUUUAGUGGGGCGCUAGCCUCCUAAAGAGUAACGGAGGCGUUUAUCAAGGUCGACUAGCUCCGGAUGGAAAUCGGAGUGAUAGUGUAAAGGCAAAAGUCGGCUUUACUGCAAGACUGACAGGUCGCGCAGUUGCGAAAGCAGAACUUAGUGAACCGCUGGUUCUUUAUAGAAAGGCCAAAGAUCAUCGGACAAAAGCUACCCUGGGGAUAACAGGCUGGUAGGCGCUGAGCGUCCAUAGCGACGCGUCUGUUCGGCACCUCGAUGUCGGCUCAUCUCAUCCUGGAGGUGAAGAAGCUUCCAAGGGUUUGGCUGUUCGCCAAUUAAAGAGGUACGUGAGCUGGGUUUAAACCGUCGUGAGACAGGUUGGACUCCUAUCUGUCGUAGGCGUAGAUACUUGAGAGAACUUGGUGAUAGUACGAGAGGACCUCACUGAACAAACCUCUGGUGUAUCAGUUGUCCUGCCAAGGGCAUUGCUGAGUAGCUAUGUUUGGUCGAGAUAAACGCUGAAAGCAUCUAAGCGUGAAGCUCAUCUCGAGAUUAAGUAUCAUAGAUUCCUUGAAGACUACAAGGUUGAUAGGCUUCAGGUGUAAGUCCAGCAAUGGAUUUAGCCGAGAAGUACUAAUAAAUCAUUUGCCUGUUUAA